RNAcentral lists this ribosomal RNA (1100 nucleotides) under Porosphaerellopsis sporoschismophora. RNAcentral describes it as "eukaryotic LSU rRNA". It matches the Rfam family "Eukaryotic large subunit ribosomal RNA", at positions 28 to 1159 of the family's 3401-position model. Lineage: Eukaryota; Fungi; Ascomycota; Sordariomycetes. The record is from RNAcentral.
CUGAACUUAAGCAUAUCAAUAAGCGGAGGAAAAGAAACCAACAGGGAUUGCCCCAGUAACGGCGAGUGAAGCGGCAACAGCUCAAAUUUGAAAUCUGGCUUUCGGGCCCGAGUUGUAAUUUGCAGAGGAUGCUUUUGGCGCGGUUCUUUCUGAGUUCCCUGGAAUGGGACGCCAUAGAGGGUGAGAGCCCCGUACGGUCGGAUACCAAGCCUUUGUAAAGCUCCUUCGACGAGUCGAGUAGUUUGGGAAUGCUGCUCAAAAUGGGAGGUAAAUUUCUUCUAAAGCUAAAUACCGGCCAGAGACCGAUAGCGCACAAGUAGAGUGAUCGAAAGAUGAAAAGCACUUUGAAAAGAGGGUUAAAUAGUACGUGAAAUUGUUGAAAGGGAAGCGCUUGUGACCAGACUUGCGCCUGGUAAAUCAUCUAGCGUUCUCGCUAGUGCACUUUGCCGGCUCAGGCCAGCAUCAGUUUGCCGUUGGGGACAAAAGCUUCGGGAACGUGGCUCUCUUCGGGGAGUGUUAUAGCCCGCUGCACAAUACCCUCCGGCGGACUGAGGUACGCGCUCCGCAAGGAUGCUGGCGUAAUGGUCAUCAGCGACCCGUCUUGAAACACGGACCAAGGAGUCAACCUUAUGUGCGAGUGUUUGGGUGUUAAACCCCUACGCGUAAUGAAAGUGAACGUAGAUGAGAGCUUCGGCGCAUCAUCGACCGAUCCUGAUGUUCUCGGAUGGAUUUGAGUAAGAGCAUAUAGGGUUGGACCCGAAAGAAGGUGAACUAUGCGUGUAUAGGGUGAAGCCAGAGGAAACUCUGGUGGAGGCUCGCAGCGGUUCUGACGUGCAAAUCGAUCGUCAAAUAUGCGCAUGGGGGCGAAAGACUAAUCGAACCUUCUAGUAGCUGGUUUCCGCCGAAGUUUCCCUCAGGAUAGCAGUGUUGAACUCAGUUUUAUGAGGUAAAGCGAAUGAUUAGGGACUCGGGGGCGCUUAUUUGCCUUCAUCCAUUCUCAAACUUUAAAUAUGUAAGAAGCCCUUGUUGCUUAAUUGAACGUGGGCAUUCGAAUGUAUCAACACUAGUGGGCCAUUUUUGGUAAGCAGAACUGGCGAUGC